This 204-nucleotide unclassified non-coding RNA is filed under the name Hevea brasiliensis (rubber tree). The record is from RNAcentral. Lineage: Eukaryota; Viridiplantae; Streptophyta; Magnoliopsida; Malpighiales; Euphorbiaceae.
GGAGACACCGACUAAUAUGGCCUCUGAUAAUCAGUCCUUUGCAGAUUUAUGGGUUGACUUCCUUCUCAAGGAGAAUGAAGAAAGAGAGAAGAGAGAAGCGGAGGAAAGUCUCAAGCUUCGGGAAGAACCACAACUUAGCAGUCCGAAUGUUGCCAGUACCGGUUCACAUUUACUUGAUCCCAGAACGAAGACAGCUGGUUCGAC